CCAACUCUCUCCGAGCUUUGGAGAGGUCUUGUUGCGUCUUCUGUAGGGCCUUAAACUGAACAUACCAGUCCUCGCUCAGUUUCUUGUUAGUCUCUGAAAGAGUAGACAUAUCCACAAUUUUAUGGUGAUAAGCAUCGUCUAACUCUUGGUAUUUGCGUUUAAGCUUCUUUAACUCAUCUUCCAACGAAUGAUUAUUGCGGAGGCGAGACAUUGAGGAAAGGCGACCCAUGAACAGGUGAGCAAGCUGCAAAAGAGGAAACAAAUAAGUACAAACUUAUUAUACGAAGAGCACGGAGAUAAGAACACUUACGUUGCUAAUAUUCUGGCCCACUUCUUCAACAAAGCGAUCCAUCGGAUACCCA
This 362-nucleotide long non-coding RNA is filed under the name Zostera marina. RNAcentral describes it as "long non-coding RNA (ZMAR_LNC004658)". The record is from RNAcentral. Lineage: Eukaryota; Viridiplantae; Streptophyta; Magnoliopsida; Alismatales; Zosteraceae.